UUUCCGUAGGUGAACCUGCGGAAGGAUCAUUAACACGUAUCCACGUAUCAACCCCUCUGUGCAAAUCACUUGUUGAAAGGUUUGGUGUUAGUUCACUGCUCAUAUGGAUCCUAAUGAUGGUGGCUUCACGGCCAAGGGUCUGAGUGGUGGGUGUUUGACCAUCAGCCGCUAUUUUCCCAUUGUUAGCCCCUUUUUUCUAUCUAUAACCCCUUGUACAACUCUAUGUACUGAACCAACAUUCUUCGAUGCUCUCUCUGAGAGUGACGAAAGAUAUUACGAAACUAAAAGAACAACUCUUAGCAACGGAUAUCUUGGUUCCC
RNAcentral lists this unclassified non-coding RNA (320 nucleotides) under plant metagenome. RNAcentral's name for it is "partial contains small subunit ribosomal RNA, internal transcribed spacer 1, and 5.8S ribosomal RNA". The record is from RNAcentral.